CUGGAGCAUAGUAAGUGCUGACUAAAUAUCUUUCGAAUGAAUGACUCUACUCUUCCUCAGCUGGACUCAUGAAUUCUGUCGGGUCCCAAAAUACGUGGUCUAAAGUCCUUUGGGCUCCUGCCGCUGCCAGCACUGAUCAUAUGCUCUUGACCCUGGUCGGGUGGGGGGAUGUCUGGAUACCUCCUCUGUGGAAAGAACUGGCCACACAUCCGCAGAGGUGACUCGGGCUGAGAACCCAGGCUCCUCCUCCCUUUGGUGACACGCCCCUCGGUCCCUCACUGGCACUUCUCCCUCCGGCCACACGGCGGCGUCUCGCCAUAGCGCAGCGGCCGAUGGUACAGCCCGCUCCCCCCUCGCGCUCUCGGACAGUGGGUCCUUCCACUUGUAGAAAAGCAUUGUGGGACGGAAGCCUGUCCUUUCUUCCUUUUGGUGCGAGCUUGCUGUGGUUUUUGCUCUGGGUCCUCUGGGAUGGCGCCUGGCUGUGGCCGCGUGGUCUCUCACGCAGGGGCGCCGGGCGGGGGAACGCGGCCACCCUGAGUCUGGUGAGUCGACUGCGGCGGCCUGUGUCCGAAGUGUCCGGGGCCGUGAACAAGGGCAGCGGCCUGGCCUCAGGCCUGCGUUCCCACGUUUGGAAACGGGGAGCUUCGUCGAUUUGUGUUUACAUCAUCGACUAUGCCAGGGAGUUCUCCAGAUAAGCCUGGUUUUAUUUUCGUCAGUGAAAAGGCCUUACCGUAUAACUGACUUUAUGCUUGCCCUGCCCCCGUAUAAAAUAACUUAAAAGCAGCGUGCCUGGUUACAGCUGUUUCCACGUGCGGUGCUCGUCGGGAGUGAUCACCUACCCUACAGGUGGAAGAUGGAUGCCUGAAGUGUAGACUGCUGCUAGCUGAAUACCAUCUGGGAGCAUAAAGGUGACCUGAAGGAUGUCCUUGGUGAGGAUUUUGAAAAUUUGAUCUUCACAAGAGUUGCCUGGAUCAUUUGAAAUUUCUGGGAGUCUGAGGAGUACUGACAUAAUUACCUGCUGGAGUCUGUAAAUACACAUUUAAGACAGUGAGGAUGUGAAUAAAUAUAUUAAUGCACUUUGGCAUUUGUGUUUUAAGUGAUUAACUGCCAGAAACAGCUAUUUCUAAAAAGUUAUAAGGGAGGAGGGGUUCUUUUUUGAUCAGUAUUCACUGCUGUCACCAUAAUUAAUAGCCUUAAAAUAGCUUGUGUUUGGCCCAAAGAGAAAUGUACUUUCUUCCAGUGACUCAAAAAUCGUGGCUAGAACUAGACUGAUUUCUAGUGACAGGUGUGCUUUACUGCACUCAAUGCGUAUUUUUCCUCCAACUAAAUUGUACAUUUAAUGUUGCCAUAUCUUCUGCCUUUGCUUUGCAGGAAACGACAAAUAAUGUAUAGAGGUAUUCAAAAAAUUUAUUGAAAGCACUGUACUAGGAGCUGAGAACACGAUGAUGAGCACAACACAGUUCUUCCCUUUGGAAACAUAGAUAAGUGGAGGGAAUGUCAUCACAAAUGUAAAACUUCACUAUGAGAUGAGUUCCGUGAUAGGAUUUUCUUAGGGAAACCUGAGAAAGAGUUGAGACUAAAGGAGGACAGACAAAGAUCCUGAAA
Molecule: long non-coding RNA, 1605 nt
Filed under: Homo sapiens (human)
Lineage: Eukaryota; Metazoa; Chordata; Mammalia; Primates; Hominidae
Description: HSALNT0092839
Source: RNAcentral